Molecule: ribosomal RNA, 292 nt
Filed under: uncultured bacterium
Lineage: Bacteria
Description: partial 16S ribosomal RNA
Rfam family: Bacterial small subunit ribosomal RNA
Source: RNAcentral
CCUACGGGAGGUAGCAGUAGGGAAUCUUCCACAAUGGACGAAAGUCUGAUGGAGCAACGCCGCGUGAGUGAAGAAGGGUUUCGGCUCGUAAAGCUCUGUUGGUAGUGAAGAAAGAUAGAGGUAGUAACUGGCCUUUAUUUGACGGUAAUUACUUAGAAAGUCACGGCUAACUACGUGCCAGCAGCCGCGGUAAUACGUAGGUGGCAAGCGUUGUCCGGAUUUAUUGGGCGUAAAGCGAGUGCAGGCGGUUCAAUAAAGCUUAUGUGGAAGACCUCCGGUCCACCCGGAGAUU